Molecule: ribosomal RNA, 777 nt
Filed under: uncultured Neocallimastigales
Lineage: Eukaryota; Fungi; Neocallimastigomycota; Neocallimastigomycetes; Neocallimastigales
Description: partial large subunit ribosomal RNA
Rfam family: Eukaryotic large subunit ribosomal RNA
Source: RNAcentral
CGUCUAUAUACGUAUAGCAUAUCAAUAAGCGGAGGAAAAGAAACUAACAAGGAUUCCCUUAGUAACGGCGAGUGAAGCGGGAAGAGCUCAAAUUUGAAAUCUUCAAGGUUCUACCUCGACGAAUUGUAGUUUAAAGAAGUGUUUUCUGUUAGAGUUGAGUAGCAAAGUUCCUUGGAAUAGGACAUCAUAGAGGGUGAGAAUCCCGUAUUUGACCAUUAUUUUCUAGCUGUGUGAUACACUUUCAAAGAGUCGGAUUGUUUGGGAAUGCAGUCCAAAAUGGGUGGUAAAUUUCAUCUAAAGCUAAAUAUUGGCGAGAGACCGAUAGCGAACAAGUACCGUGAGGGAAAGAUGAAAAGAACUUUGAAAAGAGAGUUAAACAGUACGUGAAAUUGUCAAAAGGGAAGCGUUUGACACCAGUGUUGUUUUUCCGAAAAUCAAUUAAGAGUGGCUUGAUUUUGUGUUGUAUUGACCUUAUCAGCUUUCUUCACUCUUUUUCGAGUCUUUCUUAAUGCACUUUUCGGUUAACAAGUCAACAUCGAUUUCUUUUGUUGUAAAAGGGUAUUUGGAAGGUGGCUUUCUUUUCGGAGAAAGUGUUUAUAGCCUUAUACCUCUACAAUCGGAGAGAUUGAGGUCUGCAGCGUAGAUCCUUCGGGGCUAGAUACACUUGUGCUAAGUUAUAGCUUUUCAUAGACAACUUGUUGACUAUGUUUAGUCAUGUAGCUUACCCGCUUGUGCUAUUUUACCUACGCUUAGGAUGUUGAGUCAUCACACAUCUCU